This 1416-nucleotide ribosomal RNA is filed under the name uncultured Flavobacterium sp. Its description in RNAcentral is "bacterial SSU rRNA". It matches the Rfam family "Bacterial small subunit ribosomal RNA". The record is from RNAcentral. Lineage: Bacteria; Pseudomonadati; Bacteroidota; Flavobacteriia; Flavobacteriales; Flavobacteriaceae.
CUAAUGAACGCUAGCGCCAGGCCUACCACAUGCAAGUCGAGGCCUAGAGGAAGCGAUUUGCUUCCUUGAGACCGGCGCGCGUCAGCGCGUAUGCAAUCUACCGUUGUAUUGACGACUUCCAGAGAGGAUUAAUGCCCCAUGGUAUAAUUGAAUGCCGUCAUUUAAUGUAUUAAAGAUUUAUCGGUACAAGAUGAGCAUGCACUGCAUUAGUUAGUUGGUAAGGUAACGGCUUACCAAGACGAUGAUGGGUAGGGGUCCUGAGAGGGUCUUCCCCCACACUGGUACUGAGACACGGGACUCCCACGGGAGUCAGCAGUGAGGGGUAUUAGGCAAAUGGCCGGAAGCCUGCCAGCCAUGCCGCGUGCAGGCAGACGGUCCUAUGGAUCGUAAACUGCUUUUAUACGGGGAAACACUGUCUCGUGAGGGAGCUUGACGGUACCGUAAGAAUAAGGAUCGGCUAACUCCGUGCCAACUGGGGCGGUAAUACGGAGGAUCCAAGCGUUAGGAAUCAUUGGGUAUUAAAGGGUCCGUAGGCGGCUUUAUAAUCAGUGGUGAAAUCUCCCAGCUCAACUGGGAAACUGCCACCUGUACUGUAGGGCUAGAAUGCUUAGGAAGUAACUAGAAUAUGUAGUGUAGCGGUGAAAUACGUGGAUAUUACAUGGAAUAUCAAUUGCGAACACGUUACUACUAAGUGAUUGACGCUGAUGGACGAAACCGUGGGGAGCGAACAGGAGUAGAUACCCUGGUAGUCCACGCCGUAAACCUAGGAUACUAGCUGUUCGGAGCAAUCUGAGUGGCUAAGCGAAAGUGAAGGGUAUCCCACCUGGGGAGUACGAGCGCAAGUUUGAAUCUCAAAGGAAUUGACGCCGGCCCGCACAAGCUGUGGAGCAUGUGGAUUAAUUCGAUGAUACGCGAGGAACCUUACCAACCCUUAAAUGUAGAGUGGCGGUUCUGGAUACAGGAUUCCCUUCGGACACUUUACAAGGUGCUGCUUGGUUGUCCUCAGCUCGAAGCCGUGACGUGUCAGGUUAAGUCCUAUAACGACCGCAACCCCUGUUGUUAGUUGCCAGCGAGUGAUGUCGGGAUCUCUAGCAAGACUGCCGCUGCAAACCGUGAGGUUGGUGGCGAUGACGUCAAAUCAGCACGGCCCUUACGCCUUAGGCUACACACGUGCUAUAAUGGUAGGUACAGAGAGCAGCCACUUCGCAAGUUGGAGCGAAUCUACAAAACCUCUCUCAGUUCGGAUCGGAGUCUGCAACUCUGAAGCUGGAAUCGCGAGUAAUCGGAUAUCAGCCUUGAUCCGGUGAAUACGUUCCCGGGCCUUGUACACACCAGCCCGUCAAGCCAUGGAAGCUGGGGGUAGGUGAAGUCGGUGACCGCAACGAGCUGCCUAGAGUAAAACUGGUAACUGGGGGU